AAUACCGCAUGAUACUAUUGAGCGGCAUCGCUUUGAUAGUCAAAGAUUUAUUGCUGAAAGAUGGCCUUCGCGUAUGAUUAGCUAGUUGGUGGGGUAACGGCCCACCAAGGCGACGAUCAGUAGCCGGACUGAGAGGUUGACCGGCCACAUUGGGACUGAGAUACGGCCCAGACUCCUACGGGAGGCAGCAGUGGGGAAUAUUGGGCAAUGGGCGAAAGCCUGACCCAGCAACGCCGCGUGAAGGAAGAAGGCCUUCGGGUUGUAAACUUCUUUUACCAGGGACGAAAUAAAUGACGGUACCUGGAGAAAAAGCAACGGCUAACUACGUGCCAGCAGCCGCGGUAAUACGUAGGUUGCAAGCGUUGUCCGGAAUUACUGGGUGUAAAGGGCGUGUAGGCGGAGCUGCAAGUCAGAUGUGAAAUCCCGGGGCUCAACCCCGGAACUGCAUUUGAAACUGUAGCCCUUGAGUAUCGGAGAGGCAAGCGGAAUUCCUAGUGUAGCGGUGAAAUGCGUAGAUAUUAGGAGGAACACCAGUGGCGAAGGCGGCUUGCUGGACGACAACUGACGCUGAGGCGCGAAAGCGUGGGGAGCAAACAGGAUUAGAUACCCUGGUAGUCCACGCUGUAAACGAUGAAUACUAGGUGUGGGAGGACUGACCCCUUGGGGGCCGCAGUUAACGCAAUAAGUAUUGGCAAGCGGGGGAGGUAGGACCGCAAGGUUGAAAAUCAGAGGAAUUAACGGGGGGCCCGCACAAACAAUGGAUUAUGUGGUUUAAUUAGACGCAACGGGAAGAACCUUGCCAGGGUUGGGCAUCCAACUAACGAAGUAGAGGUACAUUAGGUGCCCUUCGGGGAAAGUUGAGACAGGUGGUGCAUGGUUGUCGUCAGCUCGUGUCGUGAGAUGUUGGGUUAAGUCCCGCAACGAGCGCAACCCCUAUUGUUAGUUGCUACGCAAGAGCACUCUAGCGAGACUGCCGUUGACAAAACGGAGGAAGGCGGGGACGACGUCAAAUCAUCAUGCCCCUUAUGUCCUGGGCUACACACGUAAUACAAUGGCCGUCAACAAAGGGAAGCGAAACCGCGAGGUGGAGCAAACCCCCAAAAACGGUCUCAGUUCGGAAAGCAGGCUGCAACUCGCCUGCAUGAAGCUGGAAUUGCUAGUAAUCGUGGAUCAGCAUGCCACGG
Molecule: ribosomal RNA, 1184 nt
Filed under: uncultured bacterium
Lineage: Bacteria
Description: bacterial SSU rRNA
Rfam family: Bacterial small subunit ribosomal RNA
Source: RNAcentral